AGCUCGUGUCGUGAGAUGUUGGGUUAAGUCCCGCAACGAGCGCAACCCUUGUCUUUAGUUGCCAUCAUUAAGUUGGGCACUCUAGAGAGACUGCCAGGGAUAACCUGGAGGAAGGUGGGGAUGACGUCAAAUCAUCAUGCCCCUUAUGCUUAGGGCUACACACGUGCUACAAUGGGUAGUACAGAGGGUUGCCAAGCCGUAAGGUGGAGCUAAUCCCUUAAAGCUACUCUCAGUUCGGAUUGUAGGCUGAAACUCGCCUACAUGAAGCUGGAGUUACUAGUAAUCGCAGAUUAGAAUGCUGCGGUGAAUGCGUUCCCGGGUCUUGUACACACCGCCCGUCACACCCCGGGAGUUGGAGACGCCCGAAGCCGAUUAUCUAACCUUUUGGAAGAAGUCGUCGAAGGUGGAAUCAAUAACUGGGGUGAAGUCGUAACAAGGUAGCCGUAUCGGAAGGUGCGGCUGGAUCACCUCCUUUCUAAGGA
RNAcentral lists this ribosomal RNA (482 nucleotides) under Clostridioides difficile. Its description in RNAcentral is "bacterial SSU rRNA". It matches the Rfam family "Bacterial small subunit ribosomal RNA", at positions 1057 to 1533 of the family's 1533-position model. Lineage: Bacteria; Bacillati; Bacillota; Clostridia; Peptostreptococcales; Peptostreptococcaceae. The record is from RNAcentral.